AUGAACGCUGGCGGCGUGCCUAAUACCUGCAAGUCGAGCGAACAGACGAGGAGCUUGCUCCUCUGACGUUAGCGGCGGACGGGUGAGUAACACGUGGAUAACCUACCUAUAAGACUGGGAUAACUUCGGGAAACCGGAGCUAGUACCGGAUAAUAUAUUGAACCGCAUGGUUCAAUAGUGAAAGACGGUUUUGCUGUCACUUAUAGAUGGAUCCGCGCCGCAUUAGCUAGUUGGUAAGGUAACGGCUUACCAAGGCAACGAUGCGUAGCCGACCUGAGAGGGUGAUCGGCCACACUGGAACUGAGACACGGUCCAGACUCCUACGGGAGGCAGCAGUAGGGAAUCUUCCGCAAUGGGCGAAAGCCUGACGGAGCAACGCCGCGUGAGUGAUGAAGGUCUUCGGAUCGUAAAACUCUGUUAUUAGGGAAGAACAAAUGUGUAAGUAACUAUGCACGUCUUGACGGUACCUAAUCAGAAAGCCACGGCUAACUACGUG
Molecule: ribosomal RNA, 496 nt
Filed under: uncultured bacterium
Lineage: Bacteria
Description: partial 16S ribosomal RNA
Rfam family: Bacterial small subunit ribosomal RNA
Source: RNAcentral